RNAcentral lists this unclassified non-coding RNA (353 nucleotides) under soil metagenome. RNAcentral's name for it is "partial contains 5.8S ribosomal RNA, internal transcribed spacer 2, and large subunit ribosomal RNA". The stretch from base 1 to 120 matches the Rfam family "5.8S ribosomal RNA", at positions 35 to 154 of the family's 154-position model. The record is from RNAcentral.
GAUGAAGAACGCAGCAAAAUGCGAUAAGUAAUGUGAAUUGCAGAAUUCAGUGAAUCAUCGAAUCUUUGAACGCACAUUGCGCCCACCAGUAUUCUGGCGGGCAUGCCUGUUCGAGCGUCAUUACAACCCUCAGGCCCCCGGGCCUGGCGUUGGGGAUCGGCGGAAGCCCCCUGCGGGCACAACGCCGUCCCCCAAAUACAGUGGCGGUCCCGCCGCAGCUUCCAUUGCGUAGUAGCUAACACCUCGCAACUGGAGAGCGGCGCGGCCACGCCGUAAAACACCCAACUUCUGAAUGUUGACCUCGAAUCAGGUAGGAAUACCCGCUGAACUUAAGCAUAUCAAUAAGCGGAGGA